Molecule: ribosomal RNA, 432 nt
Filed under: uncultured bacterium
Lineage: Bacteria
Description: bacterial SSU rRNA
Rfam family: Bacterial small subunit ribosomal RNA
Source: RNAcentral
AUUGAACGCUGGCGGCAUGCCUUACACAUGCAAGUCGAACGGCAGCACGGGAGCAAUCCUGGUGGCGAGUGGCGAACGGGUGAGUAAUAUAUCGGAACGUGCCCAGUAGUGGGGGAUAGCCCGGCGAAAGCCGGAUUAAUACCGCAUGAGACCUGAGGGUGAAAGCGGGGGAUCGCAAGACCUCGCGCUAUUGGAGCGGCCGAUAUCAGAUUAGCUAGUUGGUGGGGUAAAGGCCUACCAAGGCAACGAUCUGUAGUUGGUCUGAGAGGACGACCAGCCACACUGGGACUGAGACACGGCCCAGACUCCUACGGGAGGCAGCAGUGGGGAAUAUUGGACAAUGGGCGAAAGCCUGAUCCAGCCAUGCCGCGUGUGUGAAGAAGGCCUCGGUUGUAAGUACGACUUAAGUACGAGGAGGAAGGUUACGGUUAC